UUCCAAAUACCUGACUAAGUGCAGAUGUUGUUGCGUCUUCACAUCCUAUAAAGCCGCCGUGCCGCUCUCGGGCUCUCGCUUCCCUUUCAAGUUGCAGGAAAUUCAAACACUUUACAUGACGGGUGGAGAAGGUUUGGGAUUUUUUUUUUUUUUUUGGAUUAUUAUUGUUAUGAGUUGAUUUUUUUUUUUAAGCUGAUCUUUAGGAUGAAAAAAAAAAAUCGCAGUCGCCUAAAGUCCCCGGGAAAUUGCUACUGUUGGGGGAAAACGAAACAUUUCUUGAAAACAAGAAAAUGGGUGAAUUGUUCAUCUCCCCUUCCUAUACACACAGUCUUGUCCCUUGGUUGGACUACCAGAAACAUCAAGGAAGCUGCCUUGAUUGAACCUUUCUGGGGCCACAUGCAGGGUUUUUCUCCUCCUGGGAUGAUGAGAGCUGUGGCAGUGUGUGCACACUGUGUCAGACCUGAGAGCAGCUGCCAAGUGUGGACACCCACAGAAGGAUUUUCU
Long non-coding RNA from Melospiza melodia melodia, 504 nucleotides. RefSeq lists it as uncharacterized. The record is from RefSeq and is a predicted model, not a curated record. The transcript is spliced from 3 exons. NCBI's taxonomy places the organism in Eukaryota, Metazoa, Chordata, Aves, Passeriformes, Passerellidae.